This 557-nucleotide ribosomal RNA is filed under the name Nectria pseudotrichia. RNAcentral describes it as "eukaryotic LSU rRNA". It matches the Rfam family "Eukaryotic large subunit ribosomal RNA", at positions 66 to 647 of the family's 3401-position model. The record is from RNAcentral. Lineage: Eukaryota; Fungi; Ascomycota; Sordariomycetes; Hypocreales; Nectriaceae.
CAACAGGGAUUGCCCUAGUAACGGCGAGUGAAGCGGCAACAGCUCAAAUUUGAAAUCUGGCCCUUGUGGUCCGAGUUGUAAUUUGUAGAGGAUGCUUUUGGUUAGGUGCCUUCCGAGUUCCCUGGAACGGGACGCCAUAGAGGGUGAGAGCCCCGUCUGGUUGGACACCGAGCCUCUGUAAAGCUCCUUCGACGAGUCGAGUAGUUUGGGAAUGCUGCUCUAAAUGGGAGGUAUAUGUCUUCUAAAGCUAAAUAUUGGCCAGAGACCGAUAGCGCACAAGUAGAGUGAUCGAAAGAUGAAAAGCACUUUGAAAAGAGGGUUAAAAAGUACGUGAAAUUGUUGAAAGGGAAGCGCUUGUGACCAGACUUGGGCCCGGUCAAUCAUCCAGGGUUCUCCCUGGUGCACUUCUCCGGCUCAGGCCAGCAUCAGUUUGUCGCGGGGGAUAAAGACGUUGGGAAUGUGGCUCCUCCGGGAGUGUUAUAGCCCUUCGUGUAAUACCCUGCUUCGGACUGAGGUUCGCGCAUCUGCAAGGAUGCUGGCGUAAUGGUCAUCAGCGA